Molecule: unclassified non-coding RNA, 433 nt
Filed under: Hevea brasiliensis (rubber tree)
Lineage: Eukaryota; Viridiplantae; Streptophyta; Magnoliopsida; Malpighiales; Euphorbiaceae
Source: RNAcentral
GAAUGCUGAUGAUUGGGCUACAAGGGGUGGUCUGGUCAAGACAGACUGGACGCAAGCUCCUUUCACUGCUUCCUAUAGGAAUUUCAAUGCCGAUGCUUGUAUAUGGUCUAAUGGGGCAUCUUCUUGCAACUCAAAUUCACCCUCCACUAGUAAUGGAUGGCUAUCACAACAAUUGGACACAACAAGCCAGGAAAGGCUCCAAUGGGUACAAAAAAAAUUACAUGAUCUAUAACUACUGCACAGACAAUAAAAGAUUUCCACAGGGACUCCCUCCAGAAUGCAGCAUCUCAUAGAGAAGAUUCGCCAAUCAAUACACAGAUAUUUUUGCUUUUUUACUUCUCCAUUCUUUGAUUCUUUGUUUGUGAUAUUCAAUUCCUUUGUAAUGAUUGCAAUACAAUAACACUAUCAAAAUUUAAAGAUUCUUAUUUGUUUA